This 397-nucleotide ribosomal RNA is filed under the name uncultured bacterium. RNAcentral describes it as "bacterial SSU rRNA". It matches the Rfam family "Bacterial small subunit ribosomal RNA", at positions 355 to 769 of the family's 1533-position model. The record is from RNAcentral.
UCGGGAAUUUUGGGCAAUGGGCGAAAGCCUGACCCAGCAACGCCGCGUGAAGGAUGAAGUAUUUCGGUAUGUAAACUUCGAAAGAAUAGGAAGAAUAAAUGACGGUACUAUUUAUAAGGUCCGGCUAACUACGUGCCAGCAGCCGCGGUAAUACGUAGGGACCAAGCGUUGUUCGGAUUUACUGGGCGUAAAGGGCGCGUAGGCGGCAAUUCAAGUCAUCUGUGAAAUCUCCGGGCUUAACUCGGAACGGUCAGAUGAUACUGCUUUGCUAGAGUGCAGAAGGGGCAAUCGGAAUUCUUGGUGUAGCGGUGAAAUGCGUAGAUAUCAAGAGGAACACCUGAGGUGAAGACGGGUUGCUGGGCUGACACUGACGCUGAGGCGCGAAAGCCAGGGGGAG